AGCUGGGCGAGAUUAUACCUAGUCACUACUGCUCAAUGAGACAUUAAAUAGCCGCAGUACCCUGACUGUGCAAAGGUAGCAUAAUCAGUUGGCUUAUAAUUGAAGUCUUGCAUGAAUGUAGCCAUAGGUAGAUGCUGUCUCUACACUGCAUAUUGAAUUUACUAAGCCGGUGAAAAAUCCAGCACGAAAAAAAAUAGACGAGAAGACCCUAGAAAUUUCUUGGAGGGUAUAACAUCUAUAUUAGAUUUUGUUGGGGCGACAGGGUAACAUCAUUAAACUUACCUUAUUGAAUUAGAACUAAUUGUGUAAAAAAAAAUUACUCUAGGGAUAACAGCAUAAUUCUUGAGAGUUUGUGACCUCGAUGUUGGACUAGGAAAGGUAAUGUUCAGAAGAUAUUAUUAUUGGCUCUGUUCGAGCUGUUAUUCCUACAUG
Molecule: ribosomal RNA, 432 nt
Filed under: Cochlicella barbara
Lineage: Eukaryota; Metazoa; Mollusca; Gastropoda; Stylommatophora; Geomitridae
Description: partial 16S ribosomal RNA
Rfam family: Bacterial large subunit ribosomal RNA
Source: RNAcentral